This 611-nucleotide ribosomal RNA is filed under the name Burkholderia contaminans. RNAcentral describes it as "bacterial SSU rRNA". It matches the Rfam family "Bacterial small subunit ribosomal RNA", at positions 410 to 1014 of the family's 1533-position model. The record is from RNAcentral. Lineage: Bacteria; Pseudomonadati; Pseudomonadota; Betaproteobacteria; Burkholderiales; Burkholderiaceae.
GAAGGCCUUCGGGUUGUAAAGCACUUUUGUCCGGAAAGAAAUCCUUGGCUCUAAUACAGUCGGGGGAUGACGGUACCGGAAGAAUAAGCACCGGCUAACUACGUGCCAGCAGCCGCGGUAAUACGUAGGGUGCGAGCGUUAAUCGGAAUUACUGGGCGUAAAGCGUGCGCAGGCGGUUUGCUAAGACCGAUGUGAAAUCCCCGGGCUCAACCUGGGAACUGCAUUGGUGACUGGCAGGCUAGAGUAUGGCAGAGGGGGGUAGAAUUCCACGUGUAGCAGUGAAAUGCGUAGAGAUGUGGAGGAAUACCGAUGGCGAAGGCAGCCCCCUGGGCCAAUACUGACGCUCAGGCACGAUAGCGUGGGGAGCAAACAGGAUUAGAUACCCUGGUAGUCCACGCCCUAAACGAUGUCAACUAGUUGUUGGGGAUUCAUUUCCUUAGUAACGUAGCUAACGCGUGAAGUUGACCGCCUGGGGAGUACGGUCGCAAGAUUAAAACUCAAAGGAAUUGACGGGGACCCGCACCAGCGGUGGAUGAUGUGGAUUAAUUCGAUGCAACGCGAAAAACCUUACCUACCCUUGACAUGGUCGGAAUCCCGCUGAGAGGUGGGAG